UCAUUUUUUAAAUUCCCAUCUUAUGUCAGACUCUACAAAGGUCUGCAAACCUCAGAGACAAAAUGAUUCUGCUUUUGUGGAGGUCACGUUCCAGCAGGAAAAGAGCCCUAGGACCCAUAAAUGAAGCGUCAUGUGGUCGACAUUAAAGUAAGGAGCCCGGAAAACGCAGGAAUCAAAGUUCCCCGGAUAUGCAACUCACACGCAACAAACAGACUCCACCCUCUGUGCUGCUUCAGGGAGAGGUAACAGGAACAGGCAUGAGCAUUCUCAUUUGUAGACGACGAGAAGAGGACCUGGAGUUUAAGCCACUUUCAAGACCACGCUACUCCUUAGGGGCAGAACCAGGAAUUCAAGCCAGAUCAUCUCAUUCCCAGAUAACAGAGAAUUCUCCACUGCCCAGAGACCUGCAUGAAAAGAAGUUCUUCCGGUUGAAGGGAAAUGCUACCAGACGUAAAGUCAAAUCUACGUAAAGAAAUGACGUACACCAAAAAUGGUGUGCAGGGACCUGGAUAUACUCAAAUGUUGGGAUUUUGCCCAGAGAUGGAGAAGGAGAGAGAAAUUAUCAAGAGAAAGGCAGAAGAGAUCACAAGGAUAGACAACAGAAUCUAAAUGGAUGAUCCGUGGAUUCAAACCAGGCAAGACAAGUAGACUCUGUCCAGAGACUAAGAGCAGUUUUCAAAUCCCAGAGGAUGAACAGCAAGGCAAGAACCCAUAAAGACCUCCUUGGAGCUGAAGGAUGAACACGGCCAUUGUAAGCUAGA
This 761-nucleotide long non-coding RNA is filed under the name Equus caballus (horse). RNAcentral describes it as "lncRNA (ENSECAG00000037447.3)". Lineage: Eukaryota; Metazoa; Chordata; Mammalia; Perissodactyla; Equidae. The record is from RNAcentral.